This 225-nucleotide unclassified non-coding RNA is filed under the name plant metagenome. RNAcentral's name for it is "partial contains small subunit ribosomal RNA, internal transcribed spacer 1, and 5.8S ribosomal RNA". The record is from RNAcentral.
UCUCCGUUGGUGAACCAGCGGAGGGAUCAUUACAGGACUCGCAAGACUCCUACAACCCUGUGAACUUAACUAUAAGCACGUUGCUUCGGCGGGUGUCUCGGAGAGGGUUCUCCCUCCCCGGGGCGCUAAGCCCGCCGGCAGCCUACUAUACUCUGUCUCUUUGCGUUGGCAUCUCGAGUACAAACAAACAAGUUAAAACUUUCAACAACGGAUCUCUUGGUUCUG